This 165-nucleotide ribosomal RNA is filed under the name uncultured bacterium. RNAcentral's name for it is "partial 16S rRNA". It matches the Rfam family "Bacterial small subunit ribosomal RNA", at positions 355 to 511 of the family's 1533-position model. The record is from RNAcentral.
UAGGGAAUCUUCGGCAAUGGGGGCAACCCUGACCGAGCAACGCCGCGUGAGUGAAGAAGGUCUUCGGAUCGUAAAGCUCUGUUGUAAGAGAAGAACGUGUGUGAGAGUGGAAAGUUCACACAGUGACGGUAACUUACCAGAAAGGGACGGCUAACUACGUGCUAG